GAUGAACGCUGGCGGCGUGCCUAAUACAUGCAAGUCGAGCGAACGGACGAGAAGCUUGCUUCUCUGAUGUUAGCGGCGGACGGGUGAGUAACACGUGGAUAACCUACCUAUAAGACUGGGAUAACUUCGGGAAACCGGAGCUAAUACCGGAUAAUAUUUUGAACCGCAUGGUUCAAAAGUGAAAGACGGUCUUGCUGUCACUUAUAGAUGGAUCCGCGCUGCAUUAGCUAGUUGGUAAGGUAACGGCUUACCAAGGCAACGAUGCAUAGCCGACCUGAGAGGGUGAUCGGCCACACUGGAACGGAGACACGGUCCAGACUCCUACGGGAGGCAGCAGUAGGGAACCGUCCGCAAUGGGCGAAAGCCUGACGGAGCAACGCCGCGUGAGUGAUGAAGGUCUUCGGAGCGUAAAACUCUGUUAUUAGGGAAGAACAUAUGUGUAAGUAACUGUGCACAUCUUGACGGUACCUAAUCAGAAAGCCACGGCUAACUACGUG
Molecule: ribosomal RNA, 497 nt
Filed under: uncultured bacterium
Lineage: Bacteria
Description: partial 16S ribosomal RNA
Rfam family: Bacterial small subunit ribosomal RNA
Source: RNAcentral